GACUUAGCCAGCCCGCCAAACGGUGCCGUUUCAACAAUCCAAUCCUCCGUUCCCGCUACUCCACUCGUCAACCCGUCCGAGUCGACCCUCGGCCGCCACCUCGCUCGCCGGCUCGUCCAAAUCGGCGCCACCGACGUCUUCUCGGUCCCCGGCGACUUCAACUUGACGCUUCUCGACCACCUGAUAGCCGAGCCCGGGCUCAACUUGAUCGGUUGCUGUAACGAGCUGAAU
This 231-nucleotide long non-coding RNA is filed under the name Citrus maxima (pomelo). RNAcentral describes it as "long non-coding RNA (CMAX_LNC002805)". Lineage: Eukaryota; Viridiplantae; Streptophyta; Magnoliopsida; Sapindales; Rutaceae. The record is from RNAcentral.